GGGCGGGCGAGGCGCAGGGCUCUCCCACACGUCGCGCCGCCAAUGGCAAGUUGGAGGGCGAGAUGCAAAUACCAGAUGAGGCUGCCGAGACCUAGGAAAUUAGCUGCUCUGGGUCAUCCAGGAGUGAGUGGCAAAGCUGAGACGCAAAUCCCAAAGAGCGCUUUUUCCGCUGUGCUCCCCAGCUUCGGGAGGAAGAAACACGGGCAGGGAGCACUUACUGGAACCUGAAGAAGAAACACAGAGAUGAGAGAAGUUACAAGCAGAGAAUGGAGGAAGAAACACGAUUUGGUCAGUGGAAGAAAAGCCUGGAGUAGAUGGAAGCAGAACAGUAAAGCCAUCUGAGGAGUGACGAAGUUCCGAUGUGAACUCACACAUCAUACUCCCAGCACUUCUGUUGCACUGAUGGUUCCUGUUGACCCGUCUGUGUCCGCCACUAGGUUCUAAAGCCAUUGAGGGCAGGGACUGUAUGUUACUCAUCUUCUUAUCUCUGGGGCCUAUUGGCCCACGGCAUGCAGCAAGUUCCGCAGUAUGUUUGCUAGCUGACCAA
Molecule: long non-coding RNA, 547 nt
Organism: Balaenoptera musculus (blue whale)
Lineage: Eukaryota; Metazoa; Chordata; Mammalia; Artiodactyla; Balaenopteridae
Exons: 3
Source: RefSeq, a predicted model, not a curated record